This 453-nucleotide ribosomal RNA is filed under the name uncultured bacterium. RNAcentral's name for it is "bacterial SSU rRNA". It matches the Rfam family "Bacterial small subunit ribosomal RNA", at positions 56 to 504 of the family's 1533-position model. The record is from RNAcentral.
UGCAAGUCGAGCGGUAGAGAGGUGCCUGCACCUCUUGAGAGCGGCGGACGGGUGAGUAAUACCUAGGAAUCUGCCUGGUAGUGGGGGAUAACGUUCGGAAACGGACGCUAAUACCGCAUACGUCCUACGGGAGAAAGCAGGGGACCUUAGGGCCUUGCGCUAUCAGAUGAGCCUAGGUCGGAUUAGCUAGUUGGUGAGGUAAUGGCUCACCAAGGCUACGAUCCGCAACUGGUCUGAGAGGAUGAUCAGUCACACUGGAACUGAGACACGGUCCAGACUCUUACGGGAGGCAGCAGUGGGGAAUAUUGGACAAUGGGCGAAAGCCUGAUCCAGCCAUGCCGCGUGUGUGAAGAAGGUCUUCGGAUUGUAAAGCACUUUAAGUUGGGAGGAAGGGCAUUAACCUAAUACGUUAGUGCUUUGACGUUACCGACAGAAUAAGCACCGGCUAACUCU